Molecule: long non-coding RNA, 289 nt
Filed under: Vigna radiata
Lineage: Eukaryota; Viridiplantae; Streptophyta; Magnoliopsida; Fabales; Fabaceae
Description: long non-coding RNA (VRAD_LNC011419)
Source: RNAcentral
UUUUCUUGUGAAAUAAAUAAUAUAUAUUAGUGUGUGUUUAAACUUUGAAUGGGAGGAUAAAGUGAUGGAAAAAUGAAACUUAAAUUUCGUAUGCAAAUUCUUCACAAAUUUAUUGGAACUGCAAAACUACACCACACAAAUUUGCAUCCAAUUCCGAAAGAAAAGAAACAAGUGAAACCCAAUAAAGUCAUUCCCAACCAUGCUUUGAAUUUGUGAUGUGUAAAAUUGGAUCAUAUUUCAGACAACACCAUUUUCCUUUCCUUACAGGGUGACCUCAUGCGUGGAAAGU